CACCUCUCAACCCACCCCGGUGGGUUGGACCGUGGCCGGUGGCUGUCGCAGCCCGGCCGAAAUGCACGCGGAGCGCGCACGCGCGUCUGCGACGUGCCACAGCGUUGUUAGACCCCUCGCUGACCGUCGCGGAUGCGUGGCUCCCCAGCCUUUAC
This 155-nucleotide unclassified non-coding RNA is filed under the name uncultured Ascomycota. RNAcentral's name for it is "sequence contains ITS2". Lineage: Eukaryota; Fungi; Ascomycota. The record is from RNAcentral.